GUUGGACGCUAGCGGCGGAUGGGUGAGUAACACGUGGGCAAUCUGCCCUAAAGACUGGGAUACCACUUGGAAACAGGUGCUAAUACCGGAUAACAACAUGAAUCGCAUGAUUCAAGUUUGAAAGGCGGCGCAAGCUGUCACUUUAGGAUGAGCCCGCGGCGCAUUAGCUAGUUGGUGGGGUAAAGGCCUACCAAGGCAAUGAUGCGUAGCCGAGUUGAGAGACUGAUCGGCCACAUUGGGACUGAGACACGGCCCAAACUCCUACGGGAGGCAGCAGUAGGGAAUCUUCCACAAUGGACGCAAGUCUGAUGGAGCAACGCCGCGUGAGUGAAGAAGGUCUUCGGAUCGUAAAGCUCUGUUGUUGGUGAAGAAGGAUAGAGGCAGUAACUGGUCUUUAUUUGACGGUAAUCAACCAGAAAGUCACGGCUAACUACGUGCCAGCAGCCGCGGUAAUACGUAGGUGGCAAGCGUUGUCCGGAUUUAUUGGGCGUAAAGCGAGCGCAGGCGGAAUGAUAAGUCUGAUGUGAAAGCCCACGGCUCAACCGUGGAACUGCAUCGGAAACUGUCAUUCUUGAGUGCAGAAAAGGAGAGUGGAACUCCAUGUGUAGCGGUGGAAUGCGUAGAUAUAUGGAAGAACACCAGUGGCGAAGGCGGCUCUCUGGUCUGCAACUGACGCUGAGGCUCGAAAGCAUGGGUAGCGAACAGGAUUAGAUACCCUGGUAGUCCAUGCCGUAAACGAUGAGCGCUAGGUGUUGGGGACUUUCCGGUCCUCAGUGCCGCAGCAAACG
Molecule: ribosomal RNA, 788 nt
Filed under: Lactobacillus delbrueckii subsp. bulgaricus
Lineage: Bacteria; Bacillati; Bacillota; Bacilli; Lactobacillales; Lactobacillaceae
Description: bacterial SSU rRNA
Rfam family: Bacterial small subunit ribosomal RNA
Source: RNAcentral